This 2250-nucleotide ribosomal RNA is filed under the name Escherichia coli. RNAcentral describes it as "bacterial LSU rRNA". It matches the Rfam family "Bacterial large subunit ribosomal RNA", at positions 591 to 2826 of the family's 2925-position model. The record is from RNAcentral. Lineage: Bacteria; Pseudomonadati; Pseudomonadota; Gammaproteobacteria; Enterobacterales; Enterobacteriaceae.
GUGUGACUGCGUACCUUUUGUAUAAUGGGUCAGCGACUUAUAUUCUGUAGCAAGGUUAACCGAAUAGGGGAGCCGAAGGGAAACCGAGUCUUAACUGGGCGUUAAGUUGCAGGGUAUAGACCCGAAACCCGGUGAUCUAGCCAUGGGCAGGUUGAAGGUUGGGUAACACUAACUGGAGGACCGAACCGACUAAUGUUGAAAAAUUAGCGGAUGACUUGUGGCUGGGGGUGAAAGGCCAAUCAAACCGGGAGAUAGCUGGUUCUCCCCGAAAGCUAUUUAGGUAGCGCCUCGUGAAUUCAUCUCCGGGGGUAGAGCACUGUUUCGGCAAGGGGGUCAUCCCGACUUACCAACCCGAUGCAAACUGCGAAUACCGGAGAAUGUUAUCACGGGAGACACACGGCGGGUGCUAACGUCCGUCGUGAAGAGGGAAACAACCCAGACCGCCAGCUAAGGUCCCAAAGUCAUGGUUAAGUGGGAAACGAUGUGGGAAGGCCCAGACAGCCAGGAUGUUGGCUUAGAAGCAGCCAUCAUUUAAAGAAAGCGUAAUAGCUCACUGGUCGAGUCGGCCUGCGCGGAAGAUGUAACGGGGCUAAACCAUGCACCGAAGCUGCGGCAGCGACGCUUAUGCGUUGUUGGGUAGGGGAGCGUUCUGUAAGCCUGUGAAGGUGUGCUGUGAGGCAUGCUGGAGGUAUCAGAAGUGCGAAUGCUGACAUAAGUAACGAUAAAGCGGGUGAAAAGCCCGCUCGCCGGAAGACCAAGGGUUCCUGUCCAACGUUAAUCGGGGCAGGGUGAGUCGACCCCUAAGGCGAGGCCGAAAGGCGUAGUCGAUGGGAAACAGGUUAAUAUUCCUGUACUUGGUGUUACUGCGAAGGGGGGACGGAGAAGGCUAUGUUGGCCGGGCGACGGUUGUCCCGGUUUAAGCGUGUAGGCUGGUUUUCCAGGCAAAUCCGGAAAAUCAAGGCUGAGGCGUGAUGACGAGGCACUACGGUGCUGAAGCAACAAAUGCCCUGCUUCCAGGAAAAGCCUCUAAGCAUCAGGUAACAUCAAAUCGUACCCCAAACCGACACAGGUGGUCAGGUAGAGAAUACCAAGGCGCUUGAGAGAACUCGGGUGAAGGAACUAGGCAAAAUGGUGCCGUAACUUCGGGAGAAGGCACGCUGAUAUGUAGGUGAAGUCCCUCGCGGAUGGAGCUGAAAUCAGUCGAAGAUACCAGCUGGCUGCAACUGUUUAUUAAAAACACAGCACUGUGCAAACACGAAAGUGGACGUAUACGGUGUGACGCCUGCCCGGUGCCGGAAGGUUAAUUGAUGGGGUCAGCGCAAGCGAAGCUCUUGAUCGAAGCCCCGGUAAACGGCGGCCGUAACUAUAACGGUCCUAAGGUAGCGAAAUUCCUUGUCGGGUAAGUUCCGACCUGCACGAAUGGCGUAAUGAUGGCCAGGCUGUCUCCACCCGAGACUCAGUGAAAUUGAACUCGCUGUGAAGAUGCAGUGUACCCGCGGCAAGACGGAAAGACCCCGUGAACCUUUACUAUAGCUUGACACUGAACAUUGAGCCUUGAUGUGUAGGAUAGGUGGGAGGCUUUGAAGUGUGGACGCCAGUCUGCAUGGAGCCGACCUUGAAAUACCACCCUUUAAUGUUUGAUGUUCUAACGUUGACCCGUAAUCCGGGUUGCGGACAGUGUCUGGUGGGUAGUUUGACUGGGGCGGUCUCCUCCUAAAGAGUAACGGAGGAGCACGAAGGUUGGCUAAUCCUGGUCGGACAUCAGGAGGUUAGUGCAAUGGCAUAAGCCAGCUUGACUGCGAGCGUGACGGCGCGAGCAGGUGCGAAAGCAGGUCAUAGUGAUCCGGUGGUUCUGAAUGGAAGGGCCAUCGCUCAACGGAUAAAAGGUACUCCGGGGAUAACAGGCUGAUACCGCCCAAGAGUUCAUAUCGACGGCGGUGUUUGGCACCUCGAUGUCGGCUCAUCACAUCCUGGGGCUGAAGUAGGUCCCAAGGGUAUGGCUGUUCGCCAUUUAAAGUGGUACGCGAGCUGGGUUUAGAACGUCGUGAGACAGUUCGGUCCCUAUCUGCCGUGGGCGCUGGAGAACUGAGGGGGGCUGCUCCUAGUACGAGAGGACCGGAGUGGACGCAUCACUGGUGUUCGGGUUGUCAUGCCAAUGGCACUGCCCGGUAGCUAAAUGCGGAAGAGAUAAGUGCUGAAAGCAUCUAAGCACGAAACUUGCCCCGAGAUGAGUUCUCCCUGACUCCUUGA